Clupea harengus (Atlantic herring) is the source of this 319-nucleotide long non-coding RNA. RefSeq lists it as uncharacterized. The transcript is spliced from 3 exons. The record is from RefSeq and is a predicted model, not a curated record. NCBI's taxonomy places the organism in Eukaryota, Metazoa, Chordata, Actinopteri, Clupeiformes, Clupeidae.
CAACAGCAACAACAACAACAACAACAGCAACAGCAACAACAACAGCAAUAGCAACAGCAUCAACAACAACAUAUCUAUCAUCCUCAGGGCCAACCAUAGCAGCACUUACCCAUGGAAAGUCCUCAAGUCCUCCACACCAACACCAUACCGCCCUACUUGCCACCAUACUGGUGGUGGCGUCUGGAGGGGGCCUCUUCCUGGUGGUCCUCACUGCCUCAUGUCUCUGCUUCAGUAAGUUGAUCACUUAUUUACCACCUGGAGGACUCACGUCAGGGGCUUUUUAUUAAGAGUUACUGAAACUGCCUUCCUCCAGAGUGUG